This 253-nucleotide ribosomal RNA is filed under the name uncultured bacterium. RNAcentral's name for it is "partial 16S ribosomal RNA". It matches the Rfam family "Bacterial small subunit ribosomal RNA", at positions 524 to 776 of the family's 1533-position model. The record is from RNAcentral.
AACGUAGGACGCAAGCGUUAUCCGGAGUUACUGGGCGUAAAGCGCGGGCAGGCGGCUUCGCAAGUUCGAUGUGAAAUCUCUCAGCUCAACUGGGAGCAGCCAUUGGAAACUACGGAGCUGGAGUCUGGCAGAGGUAGGCGGAAUUCCGGGUGGAGUGGUGAAAUGCGUAGAGAUCCGGAGGAACACCAGAGGCGAAGGCGGCCUACUGGGCCAGUACUGACGCUGAGCCGCGAAAGCCAGGGGAGCGAACGGG